Molecule: long non-coding RNA, 3073 nt
Filed under: Marmota monax (woodchuck)
Lineage: Eukaryota; Metazoa; Chordata; Mammalia; Rodentia; Sciuridae
Source: RNAcentral
CAAUUGUUGGAGGGUUUAAGGGUUCUUUGCUCUCUCUCCUCCAGGUUUCUCUCCACCCACAAAGUCAACGUGCACCGUCAAGGGGCCCGAAUUUCAUUUCUUUGUCCGAACUUGCCAGCUCGGUGGCUGCGACGCCCGUCCCUCUCGGGAACACGCAGGGAAGGAGAGGAUGUCAGUUCCAGGUCUGUCUGGGGGUGUCGGGGUAAGUGACGGAGAUCUGGGGAAGGUCUGGGGUGUCAGCAAGGGCUUUUAUGAGAGCAAACGCCCCGUCGUCCUUAGGGACAGCACCAGGGGUGGGCAGCACCGGCUCCAAGUUCAAGAGGGUUCCGUGGCUCCCUCCCCUCCCACUCUGUCCCCGUGAGAGCUCCCACUCCUUGGCACCAGGGUGAGAAGGUACAGGAACCACCCGUGCCAGCUGGGGAGUGCAUCCUGCAGGCUACAGGUCCCCCCUUUCCUUUCCCUACAGAAGAUGCAGAACAGGAUGAUUCAUUUUGAAGGCAGAAAAAAUUAAUAUGCAUUUAACCAGAUGCAAAAGAAGAACUUUGGAACAAAGGCAGUUUUUAAAAAGGCAUUUGAAUGUCAAAUAUCUCUCGGGUUCUUCCUGCCCUGUGACAAUGGAGAUGCCUUCCCUUUUUAACUGCUCCAUUUUCAAGAGCUGUAGGGAUCUCACUUCCAAACGACUCACUCCUCAUAAAUCGGGGGGGGGGGGGGGGGCUUUGUUUCGGUGCUGUCUGCCUCUUGUCUGACCCCCACCUCCAGCCCACCCUGAGGUCUGUUUAGAGUUACCCACUUACCUUGGCUGGCCCGUCCCCCUCCUGUUUGGGGCUGUUCCUGCUGCGGUCCCUGCACUUAGACUGUUCCCUCGUGCACCGUCACCCCCACAUCAGCAGGGUGUGCCAGGUGCCCGCAUUUCCCCGUCUUGGGUUGAAUGUGUCUUGGUGUGUCUGCUCGCCCCCCCACCCCCUCCAAAUCAGAAGAAAAUCACCAGAAGACUCCAACACGUUCGGCUCGGUGUCGGAACUGCCUGUACCCAUUAGGAAUUCUCAAAGUGCAGACCCACUCGGCUCUUCGAGGGUCUCUUUACAGAGGCACAAGUGACAUGGGGGGUUGCCCACCCCCGCCCCACCUCCCGACACACAUGUGUUUUACUGCUGUUCCAAUUUAAAAUUUCUGCUUACCACCCAGAAGCAACGACGUUUCUAAUACCCACCCUGCAAACUCCAUCUGGGAUCCCCCAAACAAGCUGUGUUCCUCUGCCUGCCUCACACACAGGAACUGGAAACUUCGUCAAGGGGAGCAGGAGGGAGGUCAGACCUUCUCGGUGCUGAGCCAUGGGAGUUUUAAUGUUUGGAAACUCGUGGGGAAAAUACCAAGGAAGAGAAAUAAGGGCCCACCUCGAAGACACCCCCCUGCCCCACCCCGGGCUCCAGCCUACUCAUCUGGUGCGGCUCACCUUGGGAAAGCCCAAGGGACUGUCCCCAAGACACCAGAAGUGAGGACAGCUACUCGAAUCACAAUUAUCCUACGAUGCUCCUGCCUGGCAGGAUUACUCUCCUUCCAAGCUCGGCCUGGUGUCUUGUGUGAACAGAGAGCCAGAUGGUAGAGUUUUGGGGGCUAAAAUGGAUACACGGGUUAUUUAUAGAUUCGGACUGGAAAUCACAUGACCUGCCUUCUGUGGAGUUCCAUCUUCCGAGAACAGACUUGAAAUAGACAGAGUUGUGGAAAGUCUCAGAAUCCUUUAGAAUAAUCCUGAACAUGAUCUUGAAAGUAGGAAAUGGUGGCGUUAAGCCCCGGGAAUACAGAAGCCCCUUCCAAAAGAAAGGAGGAGCUUUAGAACCAUCUUUCGGGAAUGUCUAGACGGUUCUGUGAAUACCAGGGGUGUUUUCCCUGACAUCCCCCCCCCAAAGACCUUUACAACUCAACACGAGUGUCGCAGCCCAUUGGCGCGUCACCAGUUUUGGGGCGGAGGAAACCACGGCUAGUGCCUUAGAUGUAAUAGACAUUUGAUUGGCAUUUGUGGGAAGGGUGACAGAAAUGAGAACAACCUUUGUCAUUAGUACCAAACUUGCGGCUUUGCGUUGUGGGGGUUUUCUUAAGUUCUCCAUAUUUCUCUCUCUAACCUGGAUACCCACGUUGGCUCCCAGGUGCCCUGGGCAGCGGGUGAGGGAAGGGUGGCCUCUCUCUGGGGACUCCUUCCUGCUAGCUGAUGCACUUAACACUUGAAUUGCUCCAUUUCAUCCUCCACAGCUGAACAUCGCUUCCAUUUCCUGUGGAAUGACCACUUGGCUGAGAGAGGUGACCCAGCUUGCCUGUGCCCGGCGGCCCCCAGAUACUGCCUUCUCAGUCAAGAUGCAGAACCAAGAAACUCCACCUCCUGCCAUUGCUCAAAGUCUAAAAAUCAAGACAGGGAAAGUAUGGAGACUGGCUGAGGCCCUAAAGGGUUCCGGGAUGCUUAUGUUUCCAUAAACCAAAAACCUCAAACCCAACCAAACCAAAAACAAGCUCCACCUUUUCUGUAACACAGAGAACCUUCUAGAAGACAGGGGCAAGGGUCACAUGCGAGCUGCAAACUGCCCUCUGCAGCUCUCCUCUCUGUGAACAAACCCAUUUGUUCCCACAGCUCCCUAUAAAGCUUAGAAUAGAAGGAAAAUUGAGAAAUGAACUCAGACUUGGAGGUACCCACACCUGACUCAUGGUACUAACUCGGUAGAAUUACUGUUUUACUGGGGUCAAUUUUUUUUUUUUUCACUAAUGAUUAAACCCAGGGGCUCUCUGCCUCUGAGCCACAUCCCCAGCUCUUUUUAUUUGGAGACAGGGUCUUUCUAGGUUGACAAGGCUGGCCUUGAACUUGCGAUCCUCCUGCCUGACCUCUGGAGUUGUUGGGAUGACAGGUGUGCGCCAUCACACCCAGCAGUGGUAUCAGUCCGAACAUACAUCGUCCCACUGAGCAUGUGGGAACUUAAUAACUCAUUAGCAUUUACUCCACUUCAAAAAAGCCUUCAUUUGUCAGAAAGUGGGUAUUAUUUCCACUUCGUCAAACUUGCCGGGAAUCAAAACAAACAUUUACAUUUUC